This 24-nucleotide non-coding RNA is filed under the name Gallus gallus (chicken). RNAcentral also lists the same sequence under 1 other name. The record is from RNAcentral. Lineage: Eukaryota; Metazoa; Chordata; Aves; Galliformes; Phasianidae.
AUAACGACUCUCGGCAACGGAUAU